This 440-nucleotide ribosomal RNA is filed under the name uncultured bacterium. Its description in RNAcentral is "partial 16S ribosomal RNA". It matches the Rfam family "Bacterial small subunit ribosomal RNA", at positions 338 to 795 of the family's 1533-position model. The record is from RNAcentral.
CCUACGGGGGGCAGCAGUGGGGAAUAUUGCACAAUGGGGGAAACCCUGAUGCAGCGACGCCGCGUGAGUGAAGAAGUAUUUCGGUACGUAAAGCUCUAUCAGCAGGGAAGAAAAUGACGGUACCUGACUAAGAAGCCCCGGCUAACUACGUGCCAGCAGCCGCGGUAAUACGUAGGGGGCAAGCGUUAUCCGGAUUUACUGGUUGUAAAGGGAGCGUAGACGGCAGCGCAAGUCUGGAGUGAAAUCCCAUGGCUUAACCAUGGAACUGCUUUGGAAACUGUGCAGCUAGAGUGCAGGAGAGGUAAGCGGAAUUCCUAGUGUAGCGGUGAAAUGCGUAGAUAUUAGGAGGAACACCAGUGGCGAAGGCGGCUUACUGGACUGUAACUGACGUUGAGGCUCGAAAGCGUGGGGAGCAAACAGGAUUAGAUACCCGAGUAGUC